This 497-nucleotide ribosomal RNA is filed under the name uncultured bacterium. RNAcentral's name for it is "partial 16S ribosomal RNA". It matches the Rfam family "Bacterial small subunit ribosomal RNA", at positions 28 to 507 of the family's 1533-position model. The record is from RNAcentral.
GAUGAACGCUGGCGGCGUGCCUAAUACAUGCAAGUCGAGCGAACAGACGAGGAGCUUGCUCCUCUGACGUUAGCGGCGGACGGGUGAGUAACACGUGGAUAACCUACCUAUAAGACUGGGAUAACUUCGGGAAACCGGAGCUAAUACCGGAUAAUAUAUUGAACCGCAUGGUUCAAUAGUGAAAGACGGUUUUGCUGUCACUUAUAGAUGGAUCCGCGCCGCAUUAGCUAGUUGGUAAGGUAACGGCUUACCAAGGCGACGAUGCGUAGCCGACCUGAGAGGGUGAUCGGCCACCCGGGAACUGAGACACGGUCCAGGCUCCUACGGGAGGCAGCAGUAGGGAAUCGUCCGCAAUGGGCGAAAGCCUGACGGAGCAACGCCGCGUGAGUGAUGAAGGUCUUCGGAUCGUAAAACCCUGUUAUUAGGGAAGAACAAAUGUGUAAGUAACUAUGCACGUCUUGACGGUACCUAAUCAGAAAGCCACGGCUAACUACGUG